CAGCCGCCACGGUAAUACGUAGGGUGCAAGCGUUAAUCGGAAUUACUGGGCGUAAAGCGUGCGCAGGCGGUUAUAUAAGACAGAUGUGAAAUCCCCGUGCUCAACCUGGGAACUGCAUUUGUGACUGUAUAGCUAGAGUACGGCAGAGGGGGAUGGAAUUCCGCGUGUAGCAGUGAAAUGCGUAGAUAUGCGGAGGAACACCGAUGGCGAAGGCAAUCCCCUGGGCCUGUACUGACGCUCAUGCACGAAAGCGUGGGGAGCAAACAGGAUUAGAUACCCCCGUAGUCCCUGUCUCUUAUAC
This 301-nucleotide ribosomal RNA is filed under the name uncultured bacterium. RNAcentral's name for it is "partial 16S ribosomal RNA". It matches the Rfam family "Bacterial small subunit ribosomal RNA", at positions 509 to 807 of the family's 1533-position model. The record is from RNAcentral.